This is an unclassified non-coding RNA of Myotis lucifugus (little brown bat), 299 nucleotides long. Its record names the gene 7SK. It matches the Rfam family "7SK RNA". From Rfam's summary of the family: 7SK was discovered as an abundant small nuclear RNA in the mid-70s but a possible function has only recently been suggested. Lineage: Eukaryota; Metazoa; Chordata; Mammalia; Chiroptera; Vespertilionidae. The record is from Ensembl.
AUGCAUAGAUCUGGCUGUGACAUCUGUCACCCUGUUGAUUGUUGGGACUAAUUGCCCUGAUCUGGCUGACAGGGUGGGAGUCUCUGUGUCCCUGCCCCUGUUAUGAGCAUCCUUGCAGGAACCAUGUGCUCAGAGAAUGUCUUUUCCAGAGAACUAUUCUCCAGUCAAGGGUCUGAGGUGUUUCUUGUUACCACCUCCAAACAUCUGUGCGGCUGGAGAUGCAUGAGGCUAGCAGCUCUGGGAAAUCUAUACCCGGUCCACAGUAUUGUACACUAGGGGCCCAGUGCAUGAAAUUCGUG